CCUACGGGAGGCAGCAGUGGGGAAUUUUGGACAAUGGACGCAAGUCUGAUCCAGCCAUGCCGCGUGCGGGAAGAAGGCCUUCGGGUUGUAAACCGCUUUUGUCAGGGAAGAAAAGGUUCUGGUUAAUACCUGGGACUCAUGACGGUACCUGAAGAAUAAGCACCGGCUAACUACGUGCCAGCAGCCGCGGUAAUACGUAGGGUGCAAGCGUUAAUCGGAAUUACUGGGCGUAAAGCGUGCGCAGGCGGUUAUGCAAGACAGAGGUGAAAUCCCCGGGCUCAACCUGGGAACUGCCUUUGUGACUGCAUAGCUAGAGUACGGUAGAGGGGGAUGGAAUUCCGCGUGUAGCAGUGAAAUGCGUAGAUAUGCGGAGGAACACCGAUGGCGAAGGCAAUCCCCUGGACCUGUACUGACGCUCAUGCACGAAAGCGUGGGGAGCAAACAGGAUUAGAUACCCUGGUAGUCCACGCCCUAAACGAUGUCAACUGGUUGUUGGGAGGGUUUCUUCUCAGUAACGUAGCUAACGCGUGAAGUUGACCGCCUGGGGAGUACGGCCGCAAGGUUGAAACUCAAAUGAAAUUGGAGCGNGAGAGNGCGAGACGACGACGAGGGAGGAGG
This 618-nucleotide ribosomal RNA is filed under the name uncultured bacterium. RNAcentral describes it as "bacterial SSU rRNA". It matches the Rfam family "Bacterial small subunit ribosomal RNA", at positions 338 to 948 of the family's 1533-position model. The record is from RNAcentral.